RNAcentral lists this ribosomal RNA (872 nucleotides) under uncultured bacterium. RNAcentral describes it as "bacterial SSU rRNA". It matches the Rfam family "Bacterial small subunit ribosomal RNA", at positions 58 to 922 of the family's 1533-position model. The record is from RNAcentral.
CAAGUCGAGGGGCAGCAUGGUCUUAGCUUGCUAAGGCCGAUGGCGACCCGCGCACGGGUGAGUAACACGUAUCCAACCUGCCGUCUACUCUUGGACAGCCUUCUGAAAGGAAGAUUAAUACAAGAUGGCAUCAUGAGUCCGCAUGUUCACAUGAUUAAAGGUAUUCCGGUAGACGAUGGGGAUGCGUUCCAUUAGAUAGUAGGCGGGGUAACGGCCCACCUAGUCUUCGAUGGAUAGGGGUUCUGAGAGGAAGGUCCCCCACAUUGGAACUGAGACACGGUCCAAACUCCUACGGGAGGCAGCAGUGAGGAAUAUUGGUCAAUGGGCGAGAGCCUGAACCAGCCAAGUAGCGUGAAGGAUGACUGCCCUAUGGGUUGUAAACUUCUUUUAUAGAGGAAUAAAGUCGGGUAUGCAUACCCGUUUGCAUGUACUUUAUGAAUAAGGAUCGGCUAACUCCGUGCCAGCAGCCGCGGUAAUACGGAGGAUCCGAGCGUUAUCCGGAUUUAUUGGGUUUAAAGGGAGCGUAGAUGGAUGUUUAAGUCAGUUGUGAAAGUUUGCGGCUCAACCGUAAAAUUGCAGUUGAUACUGGAUAUCUUGAGUGCAGUUGAGGCAGGCGGAAUUCGUGGUGUAGCGGUGAAAUGCUUAGAUAUCACGAAGAACUCCGAUUGCGAAGGCAGCCUGCUACGCUGCAACUGACAUUGAGGCUCGAAAGUGUGGGUAUCAAACAGGAUUAGAUACCCUGGUAAUCCACACGGUAAACGAUGAAUACUCGCUGUUUGCGAUAUACAGCAAGCGGCCAAGCGAAAGCGUUAAGUAUUCCACCUGGGGAGUACGCCGGCAACGGUGAAACUCAAAGGGAUUGACGGGGGCCC